GGAUAAAUUAAUAUAAAUAAAUUAAAUAUAUUUACACUAUUUUGUCUACUCCAUUUCUAUUUCUACUUUUGCCUUAUUACUAUCAAUCCUAUGUAGGAACACUUUUCCUUUUGUCUUUGCAAAGCAAAGGAAAAGUAGUAUGCUCCUCUCCCUCCCUAUCCUCACAAAGUGAGGGGAGAUAAAGGAGGGUCCUAGGGCUAAAUAUAACUGCAAAGGUGUAUAUUAAAUAUGGAAAAACAAAAAAAGUAAAAUAACUUAUUUAUAAAUAACUAUCACUCAAUCCAGUCUUAAAUAAAAAAAAAGAAAAAACAAUAUAAUAAAAAUAAAAAUAAUAAUACAAAUUACUAUUUAUAUAAAUAAAUACUUUCUCCUUAUUAUUUAAAUAGAGGGAUUGGCUAUGCAAGAACUGGUA
RNAcentral lists this ribosomal RNA (412 nucleotides) under Hebeloma hiemale. RNAcentral describes it as "partial small subunit ribosomal RNA". Lineage: Eukaryota; Fungi; Basidiomycota; Agaricomycetes; Agaricales; Hymenogastraceae. The record is from RNAcentral.